This 1233-nucleotide long non-coding RNA is filed under the name Calidris pugnax (ruff). RNAcentral's name for it is "lncRNA (ENSCPUG00000015677.1)". The record is from RNAcentral. Lineage: Eukaryota; Metazoa; Chordata; Aves; Charadriiformes; Scolopacidae.
GCGUGCCGGGGGACGGGACGGGACGGGACGGCGCGGCGGGAGGGCUGCUCGCACACCGCUGCUGAGUAGAAGGGCGAGGGGCGCUGGGGACGCACUGAGGAAGCCCAGCGAAGUGAAAAGCAGGAUUUUAUGAUAAUUUUUGCUGUGGUUUGUUGCCUAAACCCGAGGAGCAGCUCACCUACGCGCCCUCCAGCCCGCCUCUCACGGCGCGGCUGUUUCCUGCUGCCCCCCGGCCCCGCCCUUUGCUUUUGCUCAUCUGACUUUCUGGUGGAGCUGUGUGGAGUCUCCCGGCAGCUGCGUGUACACGUCAUUAACUGCAUAAAAUCCCUUAACGGAUAACUUGCAGAAUAGUUCCUAAUUCGGUUUGUAUAGAUGGAUAAUUGUAACUUCUCUUUGCAGUUAUUUUUUACUUUGCUGUUGUCCUACUGUGGCGGUGUGCUCUCCCUGGUUUGCCCCCCCCCCUCCCUCUCGGCUCCUGCCCGGACUUUAUGACAAUACAGAAAUAUUAUGGGUAAUGAAGUCAUCCCAUAAAAUUCAUUGUCUUGUAGAGUGACCACAAAAUCCAGUCUACAUGGUGAUCGUCCACCGUGGCAAGAUUUUACUGUAUCUGACCUGGGACCAGCUAAUGGAUUGCCGGUAACAUAUAUCAACAAGAUGCAAGGUCUGCUGAGGGUACAAGUGAAGAAAAUACAGUCUAAAAAGGUGCAAACCACAGAAGAAUGGCUAAGAAAGUACAGUUUAGAAUCCUUACAAUUGACAUUAAAGCAUCUGAUAAAUGAAGGCAAUAUUUUUUUGAAUUCGGGAAAUGGUGUUGAAGAGAUGGAGUUUACAGAAGAGACCGUUACUGAUUUUGAGUCCAGACUUUCUGAGCUGUUCUGAGGAGUGCCUCCACUUCAGUGUACCUCACUGUGUCAGUCACGAAGAUCCAGAAUCUCCAGAAGGUCCACCUGCAGUACUUGGGCCCCGCACAAUCGAAGCAAACUCUUCUGCAAAUCUGGUUUAAAAAAGAAGUAGCUUUUGUGUUGUGAAAAAGCGAAGAGGUUUUUCCCCCUUUAAAAUGUUGAUUUAAGCUGUCUGCCAAAUUGUAAAAUCUUUGCACGUGGUAUUAAAAAUAAGUUGGCUGAAGUAAAACAAUUUUAGAGGACAGCAAGCACUUCGUAUUACCUCAGGUUAUACCUAUUUUGAAAUGAAGUUGUUGAAAGUUGCGCUGUGUUUAGUCUGGCAUGUCAGUGA